AAGUCGUAACAAGGUCUCCGUAGGUGAACCUGCGGAGGGAUCAUUAACACGUAUCCAACACGUAUCUAAACCAAACCCGCGCUCCUCUUUUGCCCAUGUCAGGAGGUGUAUAUGCAAGCCACAAGAUAGAUUCAGUAAAGGGGAGGUCAAAGCCCUCUUUGCUGUCUGCUUGCAAUACUAUGGUCCCCUCGAGGGCUGAACCGAUCUGAUCAUGGUGUAUCGAAGGCUAUCUGGUUAUCAGUGCCACCCCGGUAUCGACCCGGAGCCUGGUAGCCUUACUAAACCCAUUUUUAACCCCUUUUUUUUAAAUUACUACUGAUUGUUACUCUGCAGCUCUUCUGAGCCUACAGAUGUAUACGAAACCGCGAACAACUCUUAGCAACGGAUAUCUUGGUUCUC
This 399-nucleotide unclassified non-coding RNA is filed under the name fungal sp. RNAcentral's name for it is "partial internal transcribed spacer region". The stretch from base 1 to 46 matches the Rfam family "Eukaryotic small subunit ribosomal RNA", at positions 1786 to 1831 of the family's 1831-position model. Lineage: Eukaryota; Fungi. The record is from RNAcentral.